This is a long non-coding RNA of Leopardus geoffroyi (Geoffroy's cat), 576 nucleotides long. RefSeq lists it as uncharacterized. The transcript has 2 exons. Lineage: Eukaryota; Metazoa; Chordata; Mammalia; Carnivora; Felidae. The record is from RefSeq and is a predicted model, not a curated record.
CGCAGGUCGCUCUCUAGCUGAGACUACAAUUCCCAGGAUGCUCAGCGCAGCCUCGCCUUGCUGGGGCGGGGGUAGUCACCCGGUGAACUACAACUCCCAGGGUGCCGUGCGCACGCCCCGGUCUGCGCCGCCGCCGCCACCUCGCGACCACCUGUGGUAAGAGGCGGUGGUGAAACAUUUCAUUCCUUGGACUGAGGUCGUUCAGACCUGUCCGCUUUCGCGACACUGCCCUGGGGUAUCUAUUUGAUUUCUUCUAUGAGAAUUUAUCGCGCGUCUGCUGGUGCCGGGUGGCGAUGGCGGCAGCUCUGGGGUGUCCCUCCGGACUGGACGGCCGUGGGCUCUGUCGGCGUCCGGCGAGGCCGGGGCAGAGCCUGACUUGAUCCUCAACCCCAUCCCGUUACGGGAGGUUUCUUUGUUGAAGAUGGAAACAGAGGGUCUUUGGUUCUGGAAGGCGCCCAGGGCACAGUUGUAUUGAAAAACAAGAUCAGGGGCGCCUGCCUGGCUCAUUUGGAAGAGUGCACGACCCUUGAUCUCUGGGUAGAGAGUUUGAGCCCCAUGUUGGGUGUAGAGAUUACU